GGAAGUAAAGGUCGUAACAAGGUCUCCGUUGGUGAACCAGCGGAGGGAUCAUUAUCGAGUUUAUAACUCCCAAACCCUAUGUGAACUUACCACUUGUUGCUUCGGCGCGCGCUUCGGUGCCGCCGAGGACACUUAAACUCUUUGUUUUUAUAAGCAUUUCUGAGUGGCCGAAAGGCAAAAUACAAAUGAAUCAAAACUUUCAACAACGGAUCUCUUGGUUCUG
This 223-nucleotide unclassified non-coding RNA is filed under the name plant metagenome. RNAcentral's name for it is "partial contains small subunit ribosomal RNA, internal transcribed spacer 1, and 5.8S ribosomal RNA". The stretch from base 1 to 54 matches the Rfam family "Eukaryotic small subunit ribosomal RNA", at positions 1778 to 1831 of the family's 1831-position model. The record is from RNAcentral.